Molecule: ribosomal RNA, 264 nt
Filed under: uncultured archaeon
Lineage: Archaea
Description: partial 16S ribosomal RNA
Rfam family: Archaeal small subunit ribosomal RNA
Source: RNAcentral
ACACGACUACAUUAGAUACCCGCGUAGUCCCAGCCCUAAACGAUGCGCGUUAGGUGUAUCGGUGACCACGAGUCACCGAGGUGCCGAAGGGAAACCGUGAAACGUGCCGCCUGGGAAGUACGGUCGCAAGGCUGAAACUUAAAGGAAUUGGCGGGGAGCACCACAACGGGUGGAGCCUGCGGUUUAAUUGGACUCAACGCCGGAAAACUCAUCGGGAGCGACAGCAGUAUGAUUGCCAGGUUGAUGACCUUGCUUGACAAGCUG